This 1175-nucleotide ribosomal RNA is filed under the name Escherichia coli. Its description in RNAcentral is "partial 23S ribosomal RNA". It matches the Rfam family "Bacterial large subunit ribosomal RNA", at positions 418 to 1596 of the family's 2925-position model. Lineage: Bacteria; Pseudomonadati; Pseudomonadota; Gammaproteobacteria; Enterobacterales; Enterobacteriaceae. The record is from RNAcentral.
CGGGACACGUGGUAUCCUGUCUGAAUAUGGGGGGACCAUCCUCCAAGGCUAAAUACUCCUGACUGACCGAUAGUGAACCAGUACCGUGAGGGAAAGGCGAAAAGAACCCCGGCGAGGGGAGUGAAAAAGAACCUGAAACCGUGUACGUACAAGCAGUGGGAGCACGCUUAGGCGUGUGACUGCGUACCUUUUGUAUAAUGGGUCAGCGACUUAUAUUCUGUAGCAAGGUUAACCGAAUAGGGGAGCCGAAGGGAAACCGAGUCUUAACUGGGCGUUAAGUUGCAGGGUAUAGACCCGAAACCCGGUGAUCUAGCCAUGGGCAGGUUGAAGGUUGGGUAACACUAACUGGAGGACCGAACCGACUAAUGUUGAAAAAUUAGCGGAUGACUUGUGGCUGGGGGUGAAAGGCCAAUCAAACCGGGAGAUAGCUGGUUCUCCCCGAAAGCUAUUUAGGUAGCGCCUCGUGAAUUCAUCUCCGGGGGUAGAGCACUGUUUCGGCAAGGGGGUCAUCCCGACUUACCAACCCGAUGCAAACUGCGAAUACCGGAGAAUGUUAUCACGGGAGACACACGGCGGGUGCUAACGUCCGUCGUGAAGAGGGAAACAACCCAGACCGCCAGCUAAGGUCCCAAAGUCAUGGUUAAGUGGGAAACGAUGUGGGAAGGCCCAGACAGCCAGGAUGUUGGCUUAGAAGCAGCCAUCAUUUAAAGAAAGCGUAAUAGCUCACUGGUCGAGUCGGCCUGCGCGGAAGAUGUAACGGGGCUAAACCAUGCACCGAAGCUGCGGCAGCGACGCUGAUGCGUUGUUGGGUAGGGGAGCGUUCUGUAAGCCUGUGAAGGUGUGCUGUGAGGCAUGCUGGAGGUAUCAGAAGUGCGAAUGCUGACAUAAGUAACGAUAAAGCGGGUGAAAAGCCCGCUCGCCGGAAGACCAAGGGUUCCUGUCCAACGUUAAUCGGGGCAGGGUGAGUCGACCCCUAAGGCGAGGCCGAAAGGCGUAGUCGAUGGGAAACAGGUUAAUAUUCCUGUACUUGGUGUUACUGCGAAGGGGGGACGGAGAAGGCUAUGUUGGCCGGGCGACGGUUGUCCCGGUUUAAGCGUGUAGGCUGGUUUUCCAGGCAAAUCCGGAAAAUCAAGGCUGAGGCGUGAUGACGAGGCACUACGGUGCUGAAGCAACAA